AGCCCCUGACAAUGGGCAAAGAGACACCUUGUUGGUGGCGGUGUUCUUAUUAUUCAGGGACAGACCAGAUGACAGUUAUAUGUUCAUCCUAGAUUGAUGCCGGGCUUGGUGGACAAAACUGUUUCAUACCUAGGACUCAUAA
Molecule: small nucleolar RNA, 142 nt
Organism: Apodemus sylvaticus (European woodmouse)
Lineage: Eukaryota; Metazoa; Chordata; Mammalia; Rodentia; Muridae
Product: small nucleolar RNA SNORA48
Exons: 1
Source: RefSeq, a predicted model, not a curated record